Molecule: ribosomal RNA, 267 nt
Filed under: uncultured soil bacterium
Lineage: Bacteria
Description: partial 16S ribosomal RNA
Rfam family: Bacterial small subunit ribosomal RNA
Source: RNAcentral
AGAAUCAACGCUGGCGGCGUGCCUAACACAUGCAAGUCGAACGCGAAAGUGGAGCAAUCCAUGAGUAGAGUGGCAAACGGGUGAGUAACGCGUGGGCGACCUGCCUUCGAGUGGGGGAUAACAUUCCGAAAGGGAUGCUAAUACCGCAUAACAUCCUUCGUUUAGAUACGAGGUGAUCAAAGCCGGGAGCAAUUCUGGCGCUUAAAAGAGGGGCCCGCGUCCGAUUAGCUAGUUGGUGGGUAACGGCCUACCAAGGCUUCGAUCGGU